UACGGGGGGAGCAAGCGUUGUUCGGAUUUACUGGGCGUAAAGGGCGCGUAGGCGGUCAGCACAAGUCAGUUGUGAAAUCUCCGGGCUUAACUCGGAAAGGUCAACUGAUACUGUGCGACUAGAGUGCGGAAGGGGCAACUGGAAUUCUCGGUGUAGCGGUGAAAUGCGUAGAUAUCGAGAGGAACACCUGCGGCGAAGGCGGGUUGCUGGGCCGACACUGACGCUGAUGCGCGAAAGCCAGGGGAGCGAACGGGG
Molecule: ribosomal RNA, 255 nt
Filed under: uncultured bacterium
Lineage: Bacteria
Description: partial 16S ribosomal RNA
Rfam family: Bacterial small subunit ribosomal RNA
Source: RNAcentral